CAUCCACCACCUUGAAACAAUUCCUUGCCUACGAUUUUAACUAUACUCAGAGAGCAGCAGCAUCCAGAGGAAACAGUCUCCUGAAAUUGUAAUCCAUUAGCCCAGCCAUACAGAGGAGCAAAGUUUGGAGCAGCAAAUUAGGAAAGAAAAGGUCAACUUGCACAGGACAGUCUGAGAGGGAAGCCAAUCAGCCAAAAAGAAUUCUCGCCUCAUAUCCCAAAGGACUCCAGAACUUUGCCAUGCGGUUUGCCAAGAGAAGCCUGUGUGAUGAGCUUCCCAAUGAAAACCCUGGACACGGGGUCUUGAUAGACAUUUUACACACGUUGUCAGGAUCUGAUGCUCGGGGAUUAGGCGUGUCCUGUGUGACUCCCUGGGAAGAACACAAGUCUUGCAAGCUUGUACCUGAUUUCCUCUGGAUUUCCCUCGAUGGAGCCGUUUCCUUUUUCUGCUUUCGCUUUGUAUCUUUUCGAUACAAUAAAUCAUAGUCUUGAG
This is a long non-coding RNA of Suricata suricatta (meerkat), 492 nucleotides long. RefSeq lists it as uncharacterized. The transcript is spliced from 3 exons. The record is from RefSeq and is a predicted model, not a curated record. NCBI's taxonomy places the organism in Eukaryota, Metazoa, Chordata, Mammalia, Carnivora, Herpestidae.